AUACGGAGGAUCCGAGCGUUAUCCGGAUUUAUUGGGUUUAAAGGGAGCGUAGGCGGACUAUUAAGUCAGCUGUGAAAGUUUGCGGCUCAACCGUAAAAUUGCAGUUGAUACUGGUCGUCUUGAGUGCAGUAGAGGUAGGCGGAAUUCGUGGUGUAGCGGUGAAAUGCUUAGAUAUCACGAAGAACUCCGAUUGCGAAGGCAGCUUACUGGACUGUAACUGACGCUGAUGCUCGAAAGUGUGGGUAUCAAACAGGAUUAGAUACCCUGGUAGUCCACACAGUAAACGAUGAAUACUCGCUGUUUGCGAUAUACGGCAAGCGGCCAAGCGAAAGCGUUAAGUAUUCCACCUGGGGAGUACGCCGGCAACGGUGAAACUCAAAUGAAUUGACGGGG
Molecule: ribosomal RNA, 393 nt
Filed under: uncultured bacterium
Lineage: Bacteria
Description: partial 16S ribosomal RNA
Rfam family: Bacterial small subunit ribosomal RNA
Source: RNAcentral